AGGGCUCGGAGUGUGUGGGGACGGAGACAGGGAGGGUGAGGGCACGCGGAAGCGGCUCUGGGGGUUGGCUGAGCGGCGUGAAGCCGGCUGAAGUGUAAAAGGCAUGUAGGGUUUACUGAGAGGAUAGCUGGGAGCUCGGGGUGUGAGGCUGGGGUAGGGCGGUGCGGGCAGAGGAACUGCGGACUGAGGAGCAGUAGGGACCUGGUGGGGAGGGUACAGGGAAGGAGAUGGGAAGAGAGUGUAAACGUGUGGCGUGAGGGAUCCAAACAGGCCUCUGGAGCCUUGGAGAGACACUGACUGCAGCAGCGUUUAUAGGUCCUGAUGAUAUCUUUAUAUUGAUUUCUCUAGUCCUGUGGAGAAGGAAGCAUCUAUGUGGAAUAUGGGCCUAGGAGUAUGUUUUAGUGGUUUUCCCUUAAUAGGAGAAGCUACUUUGUUUCUGUUAAGGAAGUAGUAAAAACUCAGUUGCUUCAUUCUCUGAUUUUUGAACACUGCCUAGAUGAGCUCUGAAUGUGCCUUAGGUUCACAAAAUAAUUUUUAAAAGAUUUGCGAAGUGAAGUUCUGGCACUGGGAUACUGAACACCUCCAGUGCUGCUGUUAAUGUUGAUGAAAUUGUAUUGAGCAACACCAAAGCAUCCUUAGGGUGUUUGUGGUACAUGACUCUAUAUAAAUCACAGCUUGGUAUGUAAGUCCAAAGGUUGGUUUAAUAAAGUUGAUGCUCCCUGAAAAAAACUUCUCUUGUCGAUCUUUAGCCUGUCGUGGUUUUAAGAAUACAGUUAUAAAGCAGAUAAAUGGGAAUUUUUCUAUAACCCAAGUUGGUUUUGUAGCUUAGCUUUAGAGCAAGAAAGCUGACAAAUGAGCAUUAAUUGGCUGCUAAGGACAGGAGGUUUCAAAGGAGUCAAAUCCCAGUUGGUAUCCUGCAGCCAUCUCCAGGAUCACACAAAAUCUGCCAGGUAACUGCUGCGCUUGUCACCAUGGUGGGUUUGAUACUUGUUACUCAGCUAAGCUUUAAAGGACAAUUUAUUGUGUAAAAGAGUAAUUGCAGCUGCUCAGAAAUGGGAGGCUUUGAUGUGGGUGGUUCUGUGCAGGAAAAUAAACCUAUCCUGAAAAGCAAUCAUCAGUCAAAUGCUUAUUUAAAUGAGCUUUGCACUGGAGUCACCAGGACAUUAACAAAAAGUAAAAAGUGAUGUGGAACCUCAGAAAAUCUCACACCUUGAUGUGAUCUGUCUUCCAGUAAGAUGUAUGUGUUCUUACUGGCUCUCUAAAGGGAAGAUAAGUAUCUUCAUGGACUCCAUAGCUACUGGAGAAGAGAAAUCAGAGUUUUUAUUAUUACUCCAUAGUGGCACAGGUAGAAGGGUCAGGGGGGUGUACAGAGAUAAUAAAGCACCAGGAACAAAUCUCGUUUAUUAGGUGUUUGGGGAAGAUUCAAAUUACUGCAUUUUCCCACAUUAUUCACUAACCUUACUCCCUUGCUUACAGGUGAAGGAGGAUAUUGGGGAUUUUUAUCUUCUGAAGCAGAGCUAAAGUGGAGAGAAAAUGAGAUGUCUGGUUCAGUGGAUUAAAUGUUAGAAAAUAUCUCUAAAUCUGGAAAGACCAGAGUGGGGUCCUGGACUCUGUGCAGCAAACUUUGCUCUUGUAUUCUCUAAGCACUGUCACCGUGGUAUCUGGAGCACUGCUGCUCCCUAGAGUAAGGAAAACAACCUUCCGUCUGAAAAAUCAGGUGUCAAGCAAGAGCCAGCCAUGUCACACAGAUUUUUAUUUCCUCCUCUGUUCAGUGGAGGGAUGUUUUGUUCUGAUAUGAAUGGGCUACAUGGUUGGGAAUGGAAUAAUUGCAAUGUAAUGCUCAGACAUUAAAGAUUCUCAGCCUACAAAAUGCUAAUCUUACAUCCACUACCAUCACAUGGAAAAAUGAAAGCAGCUUUAGUCUUGUCUCUCUUAUGUAAAUAGAGCCCCCAGAGGAGCAAGCUGUUUUUUCAAUAACCAGAAAAGAAUUAAAUUAGGUUCUCAAUCAAGAAAGAAUUUUGCUUUAUAAAAGCAGAUAAUAAUGAAUGAAAAUACUUCUUUAACAAUAAACCCCUCUCAUCAGUUGGGA
Taeniopygia guttata (zebra finch) is the source of this 2089-nucleotide non-coding RNA. Lineage: Eukaryota; Metazoa; Chordata; Aves; Passeriformes; Estrildidae. The record is from RefSeq and is a predicted model, not a curated record.